CUGAUUAGGGAUCACUAGAAGAGUGUCAGUAGGUACAUCAAGAAGUGGCUUCAGUUCUAGAGUAGGUGGUGAUUCUAACAAGAGAGCUAUUGGGGGGUUAGAUGAUGGCUUAUAUUUUUUAAUCCAAAAUAGGAUGAUUUUAGGAUAGGACAUAUUGACUAGAUCAUUUGUUUUUGUGAUACAUCCAUCGACAUCAAAAUUGUCCACCCCG
RNAcentral lists this long non-coding RNA (211 nucleotides) under Elaeis guineensis (African oil palm). RNAcentral describes it as "long non-coding RNA (EGUI_LNC060987)". The record is from RNAcentral. Lineage: Eukaryota; Viridiplantae; Streptophyta; Magnoliopsida; Arecales; Arecaceae.